RNAcentral lists this long non-coding RNA (220 nucleotides) under Sorghum bicolor (sorghum). Its description in RNAcentral is "long non-coding RNA (SBIC_LNC000374)". The record is from RNAcentral. Lineage: Eukaryota; Viridiplantae; Streptophyta; Magnoliopsida; Poales; Poaceae.
GGGCUUUCCACAGCACGGGGCGACCACCAACCGAGCUAACUACUAGGUGGAUUUGUCCACGCGAGCACAGAGUUUACCUCCUCUGAAUUGUUCCUCUGGCGGCUAAUAAGUAAUAAGGUCCAACUCCAUCAUACUUGAACUUUCAACGUGUUCCUGUAGCUGUUACCAACUUACCAUCUAUGAUCUACUGUAUCUGAGUUCAUGAACGUCGACCUGCCAU